AGUCCAUAGAGCAGAGCAGAGCAGCUCUAGACUGUUCUGGCUUCAAGUUUUGAAAAUAAAUGUUUUUUUUCCUACAAAGCUGUACUUCAGCAGUUCUGAACAAACACUAACUCUUAACUCCUCCUCUGCACUGACUUUUGUUUGUUUUAAGGUGUUUCCAAAACCACUUACGUGUAAGAAGGUGUUUUAACUCUGAAACCCGGAUCUAACUUCCUAGUUGAUUAUGCAACAAGUGCAGUCAUCACUUGAAAUACGACUUGCAUAGCUAAAACUGCAAUGAUAUUUCUGAAAAGGCUGACCAAUGGUGUAGACAAAAAUUUUGGUGGUCUUCCUAGGAUAACAAAAUUGUUCCUAACAAGUCUUACCAACAAUGUUGAUGUGGUGCCUGUCAAAGUGGACUCAGUGGAGAAAGAGGAAAAAGAAAUUGGAACUAAAUGUUCUUCCUUCUCAGCUGCCUCGCCGUUAUGGAAGAGUACUUUUCCAAAGGAAAGGUGAGCUGCCAUCAGUGGAUAUGCAUUGCUGAGUUAAAAAAUAUCUAACACAAACUAACAAUCUUUAGUGAGAAAAAUAGAAUACCAUUACUGUACAUUCUAAUAUUGAGAGAUAACAGAAAGAAUAUUUUCUUGUAAUGAGUACAUUAUAAUGAGUACAACUUUCUGUUCUAUUUUUCCACUUCCCAUUGCUUUUCUCUGUGGUAUCCAUCAACAUUUAACGGCUCCAUCACAUUUCUUAAAGGAAGCUUAGGAUGCUGGACUGAGUCAUUAUGUAAUUAAAUAAUUGUGCUUAUGACUGAUAAAAAUACUGUAUGCCUUUUAUUUUCAUUGAACUUUUAGAAUAUUAAACUUUCCAGGUGUUCCUUCUUCCCUUUUAAGCUUCUUUAAAUGUUUCAGUUAUCUUUUCUUCUCCUCCUCCAUAGAGGUCAUCUUGCAAUUUUGACUUUGGGACUUGCCUCCUCUCAUUGUAUCAUGCCUUUCUGAAAACGUUCACCAGAGUAUUUGAGCGCUUUCAAAAGUGUAACACUGAACUGCUUGCUCUGCAUCUGUUUGAAGUCCACCCUUGUUCACAAACUGGGGAGGUUACAUGGCCUUGACGAUCUCCAGCUCAAUACUCCCACAACUGGCAGUGAGAUUAGAGAACAGAGAAAUUUUAACUGGCUCCCUUUAAAAUCCACUUUUGUUUACAUGCUCAUAUUCUUAGGCCCUAAAGAGGAGGGGCUAACAAUACUGGAGAUAGUAAUGGCAUAGGAAUUCUGUCGUAAUCACAUUUGAUAUCUAACAAAUGGGGAUAAAGACAAUUUGGUCGUUUAUAUUUGGCUAGUGGCCACUGCAUAUUUUCAGAGUUGCAGCGAAGGACAAGAUAGACUGUUUAGAUAGAAUGUUUCUCACUCCUCCCCCUCGUCUAGAUCACUUGCAGUAAGAUUUAUCAUGAAAGACAGAAGUAAAUGUUUUAUUCAGACUGUUUUAGCCUUUUGUCUCAGGCUUGUUUAAAGUAAUUCUGAAGUGCCCUGAAACCUAAGUAUCACUAUAACUUGUCUUUGAAGGAAAAAAAAAAAAGAAAAAACCCACACUACCCAGAAGGCUUAACAAAACUCUGUACAGGUAGGGAUAUGUGGAAAUUACUGCGCAGAGAGUAAAUAAACAUGCAUUAGAUUUCUAAAUAUGUCUAAAU
Molecule: long non-coding RNA, 1668 nt
Organism: Struthio camelus australis
Lineage: Eukaryota; Metazoa; Chordata; Aves; Struthioniformes; Struthionidae
Source: Ensembl